Molecule: ribosomal RNA, 445 nt
Filed under: uncultured bacterium
Lineage: Bacteria
Description: partial 16S ribosomal RNA
Rfam family: Bacterial small subunit ribosomal RNA
Source: RNAcentral
GUGAGGAAUAUUGCGCAAUGGAGGCAACUCUGACGCAGCCAUGCCGCGUGCAGGAAGAAGGCGCUACGCGUUGUAAACUGCUUUUAACCGGGAAGAAACCCCAGGACGUGUCCUGGGUUGACGGUACCGGAGGAAUAAGCACCGGCUAACUUCGUGCCAGCAGCCGCGGGAAUACGAAGGGUGCAAGCGUUAUCCGGAUUCAUUGGGUUUAAAGGGUGCGUAGGCGGAGCGUUAAGUCUGUGGUGAAAUCCUGCAGCUUAACUGUAGACUUGCCAUUGAUACUGGCGCUCUUGAGUGCGCUUGAAGUGGGCGGAAUGUGCCGUGUAGCGGUGAAAUGCUUAGAUAUGGCACAGAACACCAAUUGCGAAGGCAGCUCACUAAGGCGAUACUGACGCUGAGGCACGAAAGCGUGGGGAUCGAACAGGAUUAGAAACCCUUGUAGUCC